RNAcentral lists this ribosomal RNA (237 nucleotides) under uncultured bacterium. RNAcentral's name for it is "partial 16S ribosomal RNA". It matches the Rfam family "Bacterial small subunit ribosomal RNA", at positions 99 to 334 of the family's 1533-position model. The record is from RNAcentral.
CGAACGGGUGAGUAACGCGUGAGGAACCUGCCUCAAAGAGGGGGACAACAGUUGGAAACGACUGCUAAUACCGCAUAAGCCCACGGGUCGGCAUCGACCAGAGGGAAAAGGAGCAAUCCGCUUUGAGAUGGCCUCGCGUCCGAUUAACUAGUUGGUGAGGUAAUGGCCCACCAAGGCAACGAUCGGUAGCCGGACUGAGAGGUUGAACGGCCACAUUGGGACUGAGACACGGCCCAG